AACGAACGCUGGCGGCAUGCCUAACACAUGCAAGUCGAACGAGACCUUCGGGUCUAGUGGCGCACGGGUGCGUAACGCGUGGGAAUCUGCCCUUGGGUUCGGAAUAACAGUUAGAAAUGACUGCUAAUACCGGAUGAUGUCUUCGGACCAAAGAUUUAUCGCCCAAGGAUGAGCCCGCGUAAGAUUAGCUAGUUGGUGAGGUAAUGGCUCACCAAGGCGACGAUCUAGCUGGUCUGAGAGGAUGAUCAGCCACACUGGGACUGAGACACGGCCCAGACUCCUACGGGAGGCAGCAGUGGGGAAUAUUGGACAAUGGGCGAAAGCCUGAUCCAGCAAUGCCGCGUGAGUGAUGAAGGCCUUAGGGUUGUAAAGCUCUUUUACCAGGGAUGAUAAUGACAGUACCUGGAGAAUAAGCUCCGGCUAACUCCGUGCCAGCCGCCGCCGU
This 445-nucleotide ribosomal RNA is filed under the name uncultured bacterium. Its description in RNAcentral is "bacterial SSU rRNA". It matches the Rfam family "Bacterial small subunit ribosomal RNA", at positions 29 to 521 of the family's 1533-position model. The record is from RNAcentral.